UCCUUGUAAAACCCUCUCUCUUUCUAAGGCCGACUUUGGCUCUCUCUCCAAAACCCCCGCACUCGCCUCCACAAGACCCUCAUUUUUGCCCAUUCUCAAAUCCUCUGAAUCCCAAGCUCCGGUCCUUGAGGUCGAAGCUGAUCAAACUCAGUCCCAACGUGAUCCUGAUGCUUCUGCUGCUGUUGUUGAUGUUGCCAAGGAAGAGCCCAAGCGUGAGGAGGUUUUUGCUGUUGUUAUGAUUGGAUCACGCCAGUAUAUUGUCAUCCCUGGG
This 271-nucleotide unclassified non-coding RNA is filed under the name Hevea brasiliensis (rubber tree). The record is from RNAcentral. Lineage: Eukaryota; Viridiplantae; Streptophyta; Magnoliopsida; Malpighiales; Euphorbiaceae.